UGCUAAUACCGCAUAGGAAGUUUUGUUCGCAUGAACAAACUUAGAAAGAUGGCUCUGCUAUCACUUAUCGAUGGCCUUGCGGUGCAUUAACUAGUUGGCGAGGGUAAACGGGCUCACCAAGGUGAUGAUGCAUAGCCGACCUGAGAGGGUAAUCGGCCACAUUAGGACUGAGACACGGCCCAAACUCCUACGGGAGGCAGCAGUAGGGAAUCUUCCGCAAUGGACGCAAGUCUGACGGAGCAACGCCGCGUGAGUGAAGAAGGUUUUCGGAUCGUAAAACUCUGUUGUAAGAGAAGAACAAAUUGUAGAGUAACUGCUACAGUCUUGACGGUAUCUUACCAGAAAGCCACGGCUAACUACGUGCCAGCAGCCGCGGUAAAU
Molecule: ribosomal RNA, 381 nt
Filed under: uncultured Aerococcus sp.
Lineage: Bacteria; Bacillati; Bacillota; Bacilli; Lactobacillales; Aerococcaceae
Description: bacterial SSU rRNA
Rfam family: Bacterial small subunit ribosomal RNA
Source: RNAcentral